RNAcentral lists this ribosomal RNA (496 nucleotides) under uncultured bacterium. RNAcentral describes it as "partial 16S ribosomal RNA". It matches the Rfam family "Bacterial small subunit ribosomal RNA", at positions 29 to 507 of the family's 1533-position model. The record is from RNAcentral.
AUGAACGCUGGCGGCGUGCCUAAUACAUGCAAGUCGAGCGAACAGACGAGGAGCUUGCUCCUCUGACGUUAGCGGCGGACGGGUGAGUAACACGUGGAUAACCUACCUAUAAGACUGGGAUAACUUCGGGAAACCGGAGCUAAUACCGGAUAAUAUAUUGAACCGCAUGGUUCAAUAGUAAAAGACGGUUUUGCUGUCACUUAUAGAUGGAUCCGCGCCGCAUUAGCUAGUUGGUAAGGUAACGGCUUACCAAGGCAACGAUGCGUAGCCGACCUGAGAGGGUGAUCGGCCACACUGGAACUGAGACACGGUCCAGACUCCUACGGGAGGCAGCAGUAGGGAAUCUUCCGCAAUGGGCGAAAGCCUGACGGAGCAACGCCGCGUGAGUGAUGAAGGUCUUCGGAUCGUAAAACUCUGUUAUUAGGGAAGAACAAAUGUGUAAGUAACUAUGCACGUCUUGACGGUACCUAAUCAGAAAGCCACGGCUAACUACGUG